CGCACGAGUUCAGACUCGUGGCGAAUAGCUCAGUAACACGUGGCCAAACUACCCUUCGGAACACGAUACCCUCGGGAAACUGAGGCUAAUAGUGUAUACCACAUCACCACUGGAAUGAGUGAUGUGCCAAACGCUCCGGCGCCGAAGGAUGUGGCUGCGGCCGAUUAGGUAGACGGUGGGGUAACGGCCCACCGUGCCAAUAAUCGGUACGGGUCAUGAGAGUGAGAACCCGGAGACGGAAUCUGAGACAAGAUUCCGGGCCCUACGGGGCGCAGCAGGCGCGAAACCUUUACACUGCACGACAGUGCGAUAGGGGGAUCCCAAGUGCACAGGCAUAGCGCCUGUGCUUUUCGGUACCGUAAGGUGGUACCAGAAUAAGGGCUGGGCAAGACCGGUGCCAGCCGCCGCGGUAAUACCGGCAGCCCAAGUGAUGGCCGAUCUUAUUGGGCCUAAAGCGUCCGUAGCUGGCCGCGCAAGUCCAUCGGGAAAUCCACCUGCUCAACAGGUGGGCGCCCGGUAGAAACUGCGUGGCUUGGGACCGGAAGGCGCGACGGGUACGUCCGGGGUAGGAGUGAAAUCC
RNAcentral lists this ribosomal RNA (580 nucleotides) under Halorubrum ezzemoulense. Its description in RNAcentral is "bacterial SSU rRNA". It matches the Rfam family "Archaeal small subunit ribosomal RNA", at positions 59 to 640 of the family's 1478-position model. Lineage: Archaea; Methanobacteriati; Methanobacteriota; Halobacteria; Halobacteriales; Haloferacaceae. The record is from RNAcentral.